RNAcentral lists this long non-coding RNA (2000 nucleotides) under Nicotiana benthamiana. RNAcentral describes it as "long non-coding RNA (NBEN_LNC008291)". The record is from RNAcentral. Lineage: Eukaryota; Viridiplantae; Streptophyta; Magnoliopsida; Solanales; Solanaceae.
AUAAUAUUAGAUACGAUACAGAAAUUCAAACAUAAACUUCUACCCAAGACUGGUGUUACAAUACUCACGAACUUCUAAGAAUACUAAACACAACCGUUUGAAAGAAAUAAAACUGUUUGUCUCGAAUACAUGAGAUAACAGACUGAAAAAUAAAGAUAGAGGAGACACCGGGUCCUGCGGACGCCUGCAAGGCUACCUCGGUGUCUCGGUGAUCGGAAUUCUAACACCCGCACUACUGCUGCUGCUGCUGUCCGAAACCUGUAUCUACGCAAAAAGAGCGCAGAAUGUAGAAUCAGCACAACCAACCCCAUGUGCUAGUAAGUGUCUGGCCUAUCCCGGCGAAGUGGUGAUAAGGCUAGAAUCAGACACUCACAUAAACCUAUACAGUUCAAAAUAUAUAUACAACAGAAAUAACAGGAAGCAACAUUUAAUAUUUGGGAAGGGAAAACAUGCUCUGGGGUAGCAACAAUUUAAAUAUAAAAUCAUCGGAUAAGAAGUGAAGUUGUACAAGACCACAGAUAAGGAAAACACAGUAAAGCUCUACACACGAGGACAAUACUCUUAGUCUAUACUCCGUUGCGGUGCGCAACCCGUUCCAGUCUCAUUUAACACUGUUGCAGCGUGCAACCCGAUCCUCAAUAUAUCAUACUGUUGCGGCGUGCAACCCGAUCCUCAAUAUAUCAUACCGUUGUGACGUGCAUCCCGUUCCUCAUUAUAUUCAUGCCAAGAACUCACCCAAACUACAAAUGCAACUCAAGUAAGGGGGUGGUAACAACAAAUGCACAAAGUUCCGACAAAGGAAUAAACCAACAACUCAAUUAUCCCGGUAAGGGAAAAUACAAUAACUCAGUACCAAGGCUUAACAAAUAAUUCUUUUCAUAGAAUCAAAUAAGAAAGUGAAAUUAUCAAUUUAAGACCCACGGUCAUGUUCGACCCCAACAUAUAGAUACUUGUCACCAUGCCUAUACGCCGGACUAACACAUAACAAUUAGCAAAUAUACUCAACUCCUAUUUCCUCAAGUUAGGAUAGAUCAAACAAUUACCUCGAAGGUUUAUGGCUAACUCAAUCCUUAAGCAAUGCCUUUUCUUUUAAAUUUGGCUCCAAUUCAAUCGUAUUUAUGCAUAAUUGAUUUAAUAUCAUCAAUAACACUUAAUAAACUAAUCCAAAUGGCUAAAUAUAUUUUCUAAAAUAUUCUGCCUAAAAAUUUAAAAAUUAAUCCUGGGCCCGCUUAAUCCAAACUAGGGGUUCGGACCAAAAUCAUUUAUCCAUUCACAAUUGCGUUAUAAUUAAUAAGAACAGCGAGCUGGAAUAGCAGUGGCGUCCUUACUUAUAUGUUGAAACUUACUAGAAUUCACUAACUGAAUCAACCACCGUAGGUAUAGGAUCAUUGCAUAUGGUUAAAACAUAGAAUGGCCCACCUCACGUUCUUUAGCUUCUCUAUGAACCUAUAGCUAGAACUCUUCAUUAUUGAAAGUGAUUGAAAUGGAAUCCUUGGCCGAAUUGUUGUAGUAUUCUUUUGACAAAAAUAAAAAUUGAAUAGGAAAGAUGGCAAAAAGGAAGGCUUUACUAAAGCACAAUAUUUUUUUAAUACAAAGACAUAGUGGACUAAUUUAAUUUUAACUACUAGUUUCUAAUAUGCAUGUUCUUUAAUUGUCAAUGCCAAAGAAAAUCAAGUUUUUCUAGUAAUUUAAAAAAUGAGAAUGUAUUUCCACUCUAUGAUCUUAUGUGCACCUUGCACUGUACUACUAAUAAUAUUACUAAAUGACUUGGAGAAAAUAAUUUGACUUACUGAAACUUUAUUCAGAACAUGUAAAUGUGAUAACAAGCACUGACCCGAAGAAAAGAGCUCUUCAAUUUGGAUCCAAAAAGUCACCGCAAGCUCAAACUCAGUAAUAUGGUGGCACACGAGAUCUUAUUUGAGGAAGAGGGUCUGAAGGUUCUGUGUUUUUUCUUUUUCUUUUUUUUUUUUUGGUUGAGAAUUUGAGACAAUUGUCUCCAC